Molecule: RNA transcript, 1346 nt
Organism: Empidonax traillii (willow flycatcher)
Lineage: Eukaryota; Metazoa; Chordata; Aves; Passeriformes; Tyrannidae
Gene: FAAP20
Gene name: FA core complex associated protein 20
Exons: 4
Source: RefSeq, a predicted model, not a curated record
CACCGCGGGCAUCGGAGGGGAUCGGAGGGGAUGGAUUCCGUGGGCACCGGGAGGGAUCAGAUCGGCUCCGGAGCCUGGAGGCGCCUCGCCCGGGCCGGGCCUGCACGACCCCCCCCCCUCCCGCGGCGCUCAGAUCGGGGUCUCGUUACUGACUGUGUUAAAGGACGUCGACUGACAGAUGUCCCUGGUUUGAAAAGGAAGACUUAAAUGAGUGUGAAAAAACCUGGAUUUUGUUACUGAAAAACAUCAGUCAAGAUCUGCACUGCACAAACUGGGACACAGUGCCCAGCCUUCCGGAGUUCUUGGAAAAGGGUGCUGAGGAGGAGAGUCCAGGACACCAGGAAGUCUUCACAGCAGGAAUGAGAGACUUUCCGUGGGUGCCAUUCCCACCUUUUCACACAGAACAGUGUCUGGACCCCGAGGAUUUCAGCUCCCAGAGCCAGAGCAACGAGUCACGUACAGGAUGGGGCCAAGCAGAUCAGCUUCCCAGCUUAUCAUCCACAGCUGAGGAAACCUGCAGGGGGACCAGGACAGAUCAAGGCAAAACCACAGCUGGGGAAGGCACAAAAGGCAUUUCCAACCUGGGAGCGAGUCCUGAGCCACGAGAACUCCCUGGGCACAGGAGUUGUGCACGGCCCUGGGCACCGGGCUCUGGGAGAGCUCCCAGGCCCCAGCAGCACCUCCCGGGGGCUGCCCAGAGCAGUGGGGGAGACAGGAGAGAGGGGGGUGAGACAGAGCCCCAGCCAGGGGAGGGGGAUGUUCCAGCUGGGGGGGACAGAGCUGUGCCUGCCGGGGAGCCUGCAGGGAGUGUUCCUGGGGCCGGGAGCGGCGAGGAGAGGCUGGAAGAGCAGAGUGGAGGAUCUGCAGCUCUCGACAGCUGUCCCAUGUGCCUGACGCAGUUCAGUGGAGCGCUCUCCCAGCUGGACAUCGAUGGGCACCUGGCCAGGUGCUUGUCUGAGAGCGCAGAGGAUGUCAUGUGGUAAAUCCAGGAGAAUGGAGAGCGAAGGAACAAGGCCAAGGAUGAACCUUUCUCAAAGGAAAAGGAAAAAUGUGUCAAGGAAGCACAUCCUCAGCUCAAACUUUCGGAUCACAAACCAGUAACUCAGUAGAAGGUGAAGUGUCAAGGCUCUUUUUAUUUUAAAUCCUCUCAAAUGCAGGUAAAGUAGUUCCAGUUCUGAAAAUGGUGCUCUGGGGAGACCCCCAGGGAAAUCAGCCUGGUACUCCUGAAAAAGGGGACUGCUGGAAAUCCCUGGAGCCCCUGCGUGGUCUGAGGCACUGGAGCUGGGAAGCUCUUGGUGCAGAGGAAACAGCUGCACAAGAGACAUCUGUUACCUUCAUCUGAAAGU